CCUACGGGCGGCUGCAGUGAGGAAUAUUGGUCAAUGGGCGCAAGCCUGAACCAGCCAUCCCGCGUGCAGGAAGACGGCCCUAUGGGUUGUAAACUGCUUUUCCAGGGGGAGAAACUUGCGCACGUGUUGCGCAAUUGACGGUACCCUGGGAAUAAGCAUCGGCUAACUCCGUGCCAGCAGCCGCGGUAAUACGGAGGCUGCGAGCGUUAUCCGGUUUCAGUGGGCGUAGGGGGUGCAUUAGCGGACUGUUGAAAUCCUGCAGCUUAACUGCAGAACUGCCAUUGAUACUGAUAGCCUUGAGUUUGGUGAAGGUAGGCGGAAUGUGUAAUGUAGCGGUGAAAUGCUUAGAUAUUACACAGAACACCAAUUGCGUAGGCAGCUUACUGAGCCGACACUGACGCUGAGGCACGAAAGCGUGGGGAUCGAACAGGAUUAGAUACCCUAGUAGUC
This 450-nucleotide ribosomal RNA is filed under the name uncultured bacterium. RNAcentral describes it as "partial 16S ribosomal RNA". It matches the Rfam family "Bacterial small subunit ribosomal RNA", at positions 338 to 795 of the family's 1533-position model. The record is from RNAcentral.